This is a long non-coding RNA of Cherax quadricarinatus, 1991 nucleotides long. RefSeq lists it as uncharacterized. The record is from RefSeq and is a predicted model, not a curated record. Lineage: Eukaryota; Metazoa; Arthropoda; Malacostraca; Decapoda; Parastacidae.
GGUUACCGACACCGGACACCGGAAGGCAGGACUCGAGACGGCGUAAGCUGCCAGUGGCCCUAAAACCCCCAACACGAAGAUUAACUAUACUGUGCUGUGUUUCGAAGAUGUGGAGUAAGUUUAUUCAGAUGAAGGUCUUGUUUUGGAUGAAUGCGAGGAGUAAUGCUCAUUGAACGAGUAAAAAAGGCAGACUGAAUCAUGAACGUAUGAGAGGCCAUGUCCCGCGGGCAGGCGGAUAUGUCUGGUAUGGACAGUUUCCGAGCAGUUGUACGAAAAUGGUGAAAAUUUCACUGAAAAAAGUGGUAGAAAACUGAAUUUUACAAUAACCGGACCAGACGGAAACCAGAGUUCCACUGUACAUAUAUGCCCUUUUAACACCUUUGUAAAUGGUUUUGGUUCUUGGUCUUCUAAAGUACCCUGUGUGAAGCUCGUACUUCGUAUAAUACAGGUACCAUCCGACUUACAACCAAGCUUGGUUCCGACCAAUUGGUCGUAAGUCAAAAUGGACGCAAACUUCAUGGAACUUCUAGUAUAGACUUCUGACUUCUAGCAUAGACUUGCCUGCUAGGCAAUGCACUCGCCUCACACACUGAGUAUCCAUGGUUCAAUCCCUGACCUGCAGAAACAUUGGAUGUGUUUCCUUACACCUGCUGUUCCUGUUCGCCUAGCAAAUAAUGGCAGUGGCAGCUUUGAGCUGCCUUGAGUAUCGUGCUCUCUGGGAUAGGCACAGAGCCACUGUGAGGACGAGCAGAAGAGUCAGGAAGAUAAUCACUCCAACCAGCCACAAGAAGAGAAGGUCCUCCUCUGCUGUACCAGCAGUAAUCAACUCUGCACGCUGAGUGUCCAACACAUUUAAUUCCUAGACAACAGCAGCGAAGAUGAAUGAAGGAAACACUCUUGCCUCAUCAGGUGACUGCCUAAGGAUAAACCGAACUCUUUGGUCCUCCCGAAUCGGUCGUCUCCCACCGAGGCAGGGUGACCCAAAAAAAAAAAGAAAGAAAAUCCCCAAAAAGAAAAUACUUUCAUCAUCAUUCAACACUUUCACCACACUCACACAUUAUCACUGCUUUUGCAGAGGUGCUCAGAAUACAACAGUUUAGAACCAUAUACGUAUAGAGAUACACAACAUAUCCCUCCAAACUGCCAAUAUCCCAAACCCCUCCUUUAAAGUGCAGGCAUUGUACUUCCCAUUUCCAGGACUCAAGUCCGACUAUAUGAAAAUAACCGGUUUCCCUGAAUCCCUUCACUAAAUAUUACCCUGCUCACACUCCAAUAGAUCGUCAGGUCCCAAGUAUCAUUCGUCUCCAUUCACUCCUAUCUAACACGCUCAUGCACGCUUGCUGGAAGUCCAAGCCCCUCAAAUGAGUAAUAUAGUCACAUAUUAUUGUGUAGAUUAGUAAUUUAUCAUUCAUCUGAUAUUAUAAAACUCCAUUUCAUCUGGCUCGUAUGAAGUAGAUGGCAUCAGGGAACCUGCAAUUUGGCCUUAUGGCCAAAUUGCAGGUGAUGAGGUGCUGGUGCUGGAGUCAAUACGUACCUGGGAAUGCCUUACAUAUGGUACUUAGCUAAAUUUAAGGCAAGACAUGAAAUGGGUUUAAAAAGUAAGUACAGAUGUGUUAUAAAUAUUAUAUUUACGUAUAGGGAAAUGUUCAACCCAGGUUACACAGUAUAGCAAUAUGAUAACAUACAGAUUAAAAUUUAUUUAAAAUUUUAUAUCAUUUGUUAAAGAGAAUCUCUUCUUCACUUUAAUUAUAAGUGUAUAAUUAGCUCUAGCAUUAUAUUGCUUUUUGUUUCUUUGGGAAGGAUAUUCUGUAUUUUAAAUCCUUUUAUUUGCCAAGCUUCUUAAUUUAACACAUUAAGCUAAAUGCGUGGAAUAUCAGUGGUAGUUUUUUUUCUGUAUGAUGUCCUUGGGUUCUGGUAAAGUUCUCAAUGGAGGUUUCCCAACAACCUUUAUACUACAAGAAUACAAAUAGAGUUUAAAAAAUAAAAUAAGA